GCUGCCACCAGCUCUGCAGACCAGGAGUCCCCAUACAUGUCACCAGGUAACAAGAGAAAAGGUAACCUGUACACUGGCUGGACCAGGUCUCUGGAACCCUUGCCUCUUCCAAUGGCUGCUGGAGGAAUUGGGGACAAGAGAAAGAACACACAGAAGUACUUACUGACAGCAAAUCCAAUGUCAUUAUGAUUGUCCUGAUGGCAGGCUGCUUCUCAUUUACCCAAAUUACCAAUCCCAUCAUGCCAUGACCAUGUUAGAUUGUUUAGGAAACAGAUGACAUAUGUUCUAAUGUUAAAUAAGCUGAAACUGUGCCAGAAUGGAGACAGAAGGUGUUUGUUUAUUUUUAAGUGAAGCAUGGCACUCUUGAAUGAGUUAUUAUGGUAGGGAAGGAGGACACUGAGGGGAAUGAGGCAUGGUUGUGGUAGUAGGUUAUGAAUGAAAGCAUUGCUUAUUGCCCAAAUAGAGAUGAAUGACUUCUGACCCCUCUGUUACCCAAAGGGAGACUUGUUAAAUUUGGCCAGAGAAGUCUUAGUUUCUAGGCAACAUUUGAUUUUCUCCUCAGUCUCUGAUGUUCCCCCUGAAUGCAGGUGUUCAAUAAACUAUUUUAGUACCAGAAAUAUGGCAGUGA
Molecule: long non-coding RNA, 628 nt
Filed under: Mustela putorius furo (domestic ferret)
Lineage: Eukaryota; Metazoa; Chordata; Mammalia; Carnivora; Mustelidae
Description: lncRNA (ENSMPUG00000029188.1)
Source: RNAcentral